AGCUGACUUUGAAAUAGCUUUUGCACCUGUGUCUCUUCUCAUCCCCAGCACCCUCAAGGCUCAGACUGGAUGAUCUCAACUUUUCUGCAGGUAGAAUCCUCCCUCAUCUCUCUGCACAACCUAUGGGAGAUUCUCUCUGGAACACUAAAAGAUACAGUGGGCCCUGUUGCUUAGAGACCGAAGCUAUUUAGUUAUCACACCCAAUUUUCUCAUGCUCAGAUUACAGUUUGUUAUUAUGGGGAAGUCAAGGCAUCUAGUGACAUCCCAGAAUAAACAUUCUUAUUCAAAAAUCAAAGAACUGGAGCAUGAAAUACUCACACUAAAAUAAACUUCUGGGCCCUAAAGGAUUUGAGGAGCCCCUCCCCUCCAGCUAGUAACCUUCUUAUUCAGAAGGGCCUGUCCCAGUGAAGGAGGUCCCAUGAGUGUGGUGCUGACGUCUUUGAUGAUUGUGGCAGCUUCUUCAGCCACAGAAUGAUCAACACACACAGGUUCUUAGCCAAAA
Molecule: long non-coding RNA, 502 nt
Organism: Phodopus roborovskii (desert hamster)
Lineage: Eukaryota; Metazoa; Chordata; Mammalia; Rodentia; Cricetidae
Exons: 2
Source: RefSeq, a predicted model, not a curated record